Saccostrea cuccullata (small rock oyster) is the source of this 493-nucleotide long non-coding RNA. RefSeq lists it as uncharacterized. NCBI's taxonomy places the organism in Eukaryota, Metazoa, Mollusca, Bivalvia, Ostreida, Ostreidae. The transcript has 3 exons. The record is from RefSeq and is a predicted model, not a curated record.
AAAAUGGGUUUGUUUUAUCGACGCAUUCACUGCGGGUCAUGUGUUCUCUAAAGGAAGCAAAUCGUUUACUUCUCUCAAAAGAAUAUCAGACAUUCUUGAGUGACAGCAGAGGCAGCAGGUGUACUUUCUGUGAUGGAGACUGGGGCUACUUUUACGUUUGUCGCACGUGUAAUGAAAAGUUUUGUCCAUUUUGUCAUCUACGUCACAACUUUACACCAAGAUUUACGUUACACGUGAUUGACUGUGUCAUAAACAAGUCGAAAAGAACUGAUUUAAAGCACAAUUGAUCAGUUGAUUAUAAUAAGUAUUGAAUCAGCUGGUAAUUUUGCAUUACGUUACAUUAUAAUACGGCAAGGGCUGUUUAAAGAUGCAUGUGUUUGAAUGUCAGAAUCUCGAUUUUUAUUUGAAUGUAUGUUUGGCUAGAUUUACUCUGAAGUGUUGUUAAUUAAAAAAGUUCUGUUUUUGCUAAUUAAACUUUUUGGUUGAAAGAUGG